UUCAAACAUUGUACAAAAUUGAAGAACUGAAACUUCAAAUGGAGAAGGGAUGAAAUUAGUAUAAAACUUCAAAACAAAUUAUUGCACCUCAAAAUAAGCC
Solanum tuberosum (potato) is the source of this 100-nucleotide long non-coding RNA. RefSeq lists it as uncharacterized. The record is from RefSeq and is a predicted model, not a curated record. The transcript is spliced from 3 exons. NCBI's taxonomy places the organism in Eukaryota, Viridiplantae, Streptophyta, Magnoliopsida, Solanales, Solanaceae.